CCUACGGGAGGCAGCAGUAGGGAAUCUUCCGCAAUGGACGAAAGUCUGACGGAGCAACGCCGCGUGAACGAUGAAGGCCUUCGGGUCGUAAAGUUCUGUUGUUAGGGAAGAACAAGUGCUAGUUAAAUAAGCUGGCACCUUGACGGUACCUAACCAGAAAGCCACGGCUAACUACGUGCCAGCAGCCGCGGUAAUACGUAGGUGGCAAGCGUUGUCCGGAAUUAUUGGGCGUAAAGCGCGCGCAGGCGGUUUCUUAAGUCUGAUGUGAAAGCCCCCGGCUCAACCGGGGAGGGUCAUUGGAAACUGGGAAACUUGAGUGCAGAAGAGGAAAGUGGAAUUCCAAGUGUAGCGGUGAAAUGCGUAGAGAUUUGGAGGAACACCAGUGGCGAAGGCGACUUUCUGGUCUGUAACUGACGCUGAGGCGCGAAAGCGUGGGGAGCAAACAGGAUUAGAUACCCUGGUAGUCCACGCUGUAAACGAUGAGUGCUAAGUGUUAGAGGGUUUCCGCCUUUAGUGCUGAAGUUAACGCAUUAAGCACUCCGCCUGGGGAGUACGGUCGCAAGACUGAAACUCAAAUGAAUUGACGG
Molecule: ribosomal RNA, 587 nt
Filed under: uncultured bacterium
Lineage: Bacteria
Description: bacterial SSU rRNA
Rfam family: Bacterial small subunit ribosomal RNA
Source: RNAcentral